Molecule: ribosomal RNA, 301 nt
Filed under: uncultured bacterium
Lineage: Bacteria
Description: partial 16S ribosomal RNA
Rfam family: Bacterial small subunit ribosomal RNA
Source: RNAcentral
CAGCCGCCACGGUAAUACGUAGGUGGCAAGCGUUGUCCGGAAUUAUUGGGCGUAAAGGGCUCGCAGGCGGUUUCUUAAGUCUGAUGUGAAAGCCCCCGGCUUAACCGGGGAGGGUCAUUGGAAACUGGGAAACUUGAGUGCAGAAGAGGAGAGUGGAAUUCCACGUGUAGCGGUGAAAUGCGUAGAGAUGUGGAGGAACGCCAGUGGCGAAGGCGACUCUCUGGUCUGUAACUGACGCCGAGGAGCGAAAGCGUGGGGAGCGAACAGGAUUAGAUACCCGCGUAGUCCCUGUCUCUUAUAC